GGCUACUUCUUGCCCAAGUCCCGCCUCGGGCCUGAGACCCACGUGACACCCUGGCUAUCCGGGGAUUGGUUGUUCGGCGAGGGCCGCAAUGGGCGUUGGGAUGGCCGAGGGGCAGCGAGGAGACAGGGAGUGGGAAGUUGGCGAGAGUGUCGCUGGCGACCAAAGAGAGGCAGCUAUCUUGCCCCGCUAGCCCGGGCCGACCUUAGGAGAGCCAGGGAGGUGGAGUUUUAAGAAUUCGGAAAGCGGCCUGCGGACUCCUGCCUGCGCCUUUGGUUUGAACCCGGGUUCGGGCCUUCCUCGUGCUCCCCUGCAGGACGGCCGCUCGCAGGCUUUCCUGAAGCCCCUGGGGUCUGGACCUUGCCCUUAGCCUUUUUAAGGGUCCACCCGAUGCUCGAAUUGUUUGUUCAGGGCGGUGCAGAGCUCCACGAGGUAGAAGCUGGGGGGUGGGGGGCUUGCGAUGCUCGAGGCAUGUUCGGACCUUAGUGAAACAUUGGAGGUUGAGGGACCAUAUUUCACUGCAUAAAUGUUGCCACUGCAUAAUCGUCACACCAUUUUGUUCAGUCCCAAAUUUGGUUUAUAGUCUUUCAACAUGAAGUCAACACAUGGUAUCAUUCUGAUCAUCAUACUGCUUUAUAAGCCCAUGGAAGUAGUUACUAGCUUACUUCUUAAGAGGAAGAUAAUGCUGAAAGGAACAGUUUUCCCUAGGAAUUCAUGUCCGAGUGCAAACAAAAGAUUGAAUGGAUUUGGAACUCAUGGUGGACUAGAUUAAAACUAUAUGGAACAGAAGACUGGAUGUACUACUGAAAGAACCGGCUCUCAUUUUACCAAUUUCCAAGGUCACAUUAUGAACAAAAUAAAGCAACUUCUCCAUGAAAAUAGGACACUCCCAGUAAUCUAACACCUAUCUUGCAGCCACUGGAUACAGGUGCAUAUAAGCCCUUAAAAGAUCAUCUGCACUGUUUUUGCAAUGAGUGGAUGAGCAGUGAUGAACACUUAUUGACACCAGCUGGAAAGAUUAAGCAUCCGUCCUUGGAACUACUAUGCACACGAGUUAUUGAGAGUUGGGACCUUACACUACACAAAACAACCAUCAGAAGCUUCAAAAAAGACAGGAAUUUCAAAUACGCUAGAUAGAGCUAAAGAUGAUGCACUGUGGCAGAGUGAGGAAAUAAACCUAUCUUAUGAGUGGUGAUAAGGACUGCCUGUCAGGUAAUGAAACCAGUGAUAGUGCAGAAUCUUCAGACACACAUUAGAUUCUGCAAAUCAGUACUUCGUAAUACUGUAAUAAAUUUUCUUGUGUAAUAUUUUGACUAAUGCACAAAUCAGUAGCAAAUAUGUUGACCUUUUUUUGGGGGGGCAGAUUGGGAAAAGUCUUCACUAAACUCUCAGGAAGAAAUGAUGUGUAUUGAUUUGGACUAUUCUGUUUUAACGUAUAUUCAUGAGUAUUCCAUGCAUUCUAAUCUUGCACCAAAGACAAAUAUUUUAAAUAAGACAAGCAUACUUAAAAAAACAAUGUUCACACUCCCACUUUUUUUGCAAGAAAAAAUUUGGCAUGAAGUCUGUUAUAAUUAUGGGGUGAGUCUAUGUGGUGAAAUACAGCAAACUGGUUUUGGUUACUUCACCAAGUGCUCCAUCAUGUCAGUCUUCAGUCUGUUCAAGUCCCUUAUUGACUUACUACUAUAUUAAAAAUUUUAACUGUAGUAUUUAUUGUAGUAGAAAUCCCGAGGUUCGACAAACAUUAUUACAAUGUCAUACUCCUAAUGUACUCAAAAGUGUUAAUAUUUUUAAAUCCUUAGGAUUUUCCAUUUUAAAAUAUAAUUUUAACACCUCUGGACUGUCAGAAUGUGCUAUGAAUUGCUAAGUUUAAGCCCUGAGAAACAGUACAGACAUGAAUUAUUUUCAUCCUUUCUUUAGUGAUUUUUUUUUUAAAUACUUUUUUCACAAUUCUGCUAAUUCAGUGGCAUGAAUUUUCCUACAUAGGCAAUUCAAGUGUUUCUGUAGUUUCAUUUUGUUUGGCAGGGGGCACACCCAGCAAUGCUCGGGGCUUGCUCCUGGCAGGCCUGGGUACCAUAAGGAUGCCAGGGAUAGAACCCAGGUCACCCGAUGCAGUGUAAGUGUCCCACCUGCUGUACUAUUUCUCCAGUCCACCUGUAGUAUUUCUGAUAUUAGGAGUUUCACAAAAAACUAAAUUCUUAACCACUGGAGUACCAGCUUUUUCCCCUCAACUAC
Long non-coding RNA from Sorex araneus (European shrew), 2229 nucleotides. RefSeq lists it as uncharacterized. The transcript is spliced from 3 exons. Lineage: Eukaryota; Metazoa; Chordata; Mammalia; Eulipotyphla; Soricidae. The record is from RefSeq and is a predicted model, not a curated record.